CCUGCCCGCCCGGGGCGGCGCUGCAGGGCCCGGCGCAGCCGCGGGGGGAGCAAGCGGGUGUCUGCGGCGGUUGCCGGCCCGGCCCGGCCUGGUACGGCCCGGCCCGCCGGCUGAGCGCCGCCCCACGCCCGCAGCCUGGCUCGGGCUCCCUCCCCUGCCCGGGGGAAGCAGGGCUGGUGAAGGGGACUCAAAGGAUCCCAGGACGAGCCCCCCGGGGGCGGAUCAACAGUGAUUCGGGCGCUGGCGGAGCAGAAAAGCGGAGCCCCCCACCCGAGACGCGCAGGUUUCCUCUGCACUGACUGGGGGCUGCGGCUGCCCCCCUGCGGCCUCCUGCGUCUGAGAGUUUCCAGCUUCAUGGGGAUGACUCGCCUUUUAUUUUUACUCUCUUCCUUAAUAUGAUCUAAUCCAUAUUUAUAGAAGACUCAGCUGACAAUCUUUAUCAAUUUUCUUUUGCAAAUUUGAAGCAAUUUUUUAUGCACAGAAGGCUUUAUUUUUGUAUACUGCUUUACCUGUGUUUCUCCUUUCCCCAUAAAAGUGACCUACUGGAGCACCAUGUGAAGAAUCCAGGUCUGGAAGAGCAGGUUUCCCUCAUUUGCAAAUUUCAGGAUUUCUACAGCCUGUCUUUUCCACACUAGAGAUUGUAUUCUGGAAGCACGCUAAGACCAUGUUAUUUUUAGAAGAGAGAUCAAGUAUGGGGCCUGCCAGCUUUGACACUGUUCCUUUAAAGGAAUUACUAGUAUAUCCAAACAGCAAUUUCCUGAAUUGUGUCUGUUUGUAAAAAAUCAAUUUAUAGGACUAGUACUUUGUUUUAUAGUCAUAAUUACUUUAGAAGAGGUUUUAAAUUAUGAUAAGGAUACUUUAGAUGAAAGUGCAAAUUAAUUAUGAACUUAACUUUUGUUAAAUAAAUGAAAACAUUUUUCAA
Alligator mississippiensis (American alligator) is the source of this 922-nucleotide long non-coding RNA. RefSeq lists it as uncharacterized. The transcript is spliced from 2 exons. The record is from RefSeq and is a predicted model, not a curated record. Lineage: Eukaryota; Metazoa; Chordata; Crocodylia; Alligatoridae.